UGCAGGUGUAGCAAAAUGGUUAUGCGGCUGACUCUUAAUCAGUAAGACGAUGGGUUCAAUUCCCUCCACCUGUACCAA
This 78-nucleotide transfer RNA is filed under the name Escherichia phage JLBYU32. RNAcentral describes it as "tRNA-Lys". It matches the Rfam family "tRNA". Rfam says of the family: Transfer RNA (tRNA) molecules are approximately 80 nucleotides in length. Their secondary structure includes four short double-helical elements and three loops (D, anti-codon, and T loops). The record is from RNAcentral. Lineage: Duplodnaviria; Heunggongvirae; Uroviricota; Caudoviricetes; Andersonviridae.